This is a long non-coding RNA of Mirounga angustirostris (Northern elephant seal), 892 nucleotides long. RefSeq lists it as uncharacterized. The transcript is spliced from 2 exons. NCBI's taxonomy places the organism in Eukaryota, Metazoa, Chordata, Mammalia, Carnivora, Phocidae. The record is from RefSeq and is a predicted model, not a curated record.
GGCCGGCGGGGGGCGGCGGGCCGAGGCGGGAUCCGGGCGGCGGGGUCCGGGCGCGGGCGCGGCGGGCGCGCAGGAGACGAGGACGGCAGCCCGGGCCCUGCGAGGAGCCGGGGGCUGCGGGAGGAGGCCGCGAUCCGGGUCCGGGCCCAGGCGCAGGCCCAGGCCCAGCAGGAGGAGGAGCGGGGUUCCGGGCCGCAUGGCGCCGCCUGCCCGGGAAGCUGGGAGCUGCCGCCGCAGGCCGCGGGUCCAGCCAACCGCCGCGGGGGGCGCGGGCCGCGGGGUCGCGAGCCUGAUGCGGCGAAUGCGGUAUUUGGAGUUUGUGUGAAAUCUUCCGGGUAUAUGGAUUUCGAACUUAAGUCUGUCGUGGUCACAGAAUACAUUCGAUAUGAUUUUGAACCCUUUACAUGGAUUGAGACUUGUUUGAAAGCUCAUACAGUAGUGUGGUCUGCCUUGAUGUAUUGUCUUCGUGCACUUGAAGACCACGCGUGUUCUACCGUUGUUGGGUGGGUCGUCCUACACACGUGGAGUCCAUCGGGAUAGUUGGUACCCACCCGUCCCUUCUCCUAUGUCUUUUCUGGAUUUUUCUCGAGUUUUCCUGUCUCUGCUGAGAGAGGCUGUUAAUGUCUCCUGUGGUGACUGGGAAAUUGUCUUUUUUCCCCUUGAAUUCUGCCCGUUUUAGCUUCAUGUAUUUUGAGGCUCUAUUAGGUGGAUACACAUUUGUGGUUAUGUCCACAUGAAUUGGCCCUUUUCUCAUGAUGAAAUGUCUCUGUUUAUCUCUAGUAACGAUCUUUACAACAAAGAAGCCUAUUUUACCUGAUAUGCAAAUGCUGGAGGAUAUGUUGAUUGUAGGUCAAUAAAACUGGAAAAUAAAAUAGCCAUACUAGCCUUCUUA